RNAcentral lists this ribosomal RNA (468 nucleotides) under uncultured bacterium. RNAcentral describes it as "partial 16S ribosomal RNA". It matches the Rfam family "Bacterial small subunit ribosomal RNA", at positions 28 to 507 of the family's 1533-position model. The record is from RNAcentral.
GACGAACGCUGGCGGCGUGCUUAACACAUGCAAGUCGAACGGAAAGGCCCUGCUUUUGUGGGGUGCUCGAGUGGCGAACGGGUGAGUAACACGUGAGUAACCUGCCCUUGACUUUGGGAUAACUUCAGGAAACUGGGGCUAAUACCGGAUAGGAGCUCCUGCUGCAUGGUGGGGGUUGGAAAGUUUCGGCGGUUGGGGAUGGACUCGCGGCGUAUCAGCUUGUUGGUGGGGUAGUGGCUUACCAAGGCUUUGACGGGUAGCCGGGCUGAGAGGGUGACCGGCCACAUUGGGACUGAGAUACGGCCCAGACUCCUACGGGAGGCAGCAGUGGGGAAUAUUGUACAAUGGGCGGAAGCCUGAUGCAGCAACGCCGCGUGGGGGAUGACGGCCUUCGGGUUGUAAACCGCUUUCGCCUGUGACGAAGCGUGAGUGACGGUAAUGGGUAAAGAAGCACCGGCUAACUACGUG